This 215-nucleotide unclassified non-coding RNA is filed under the name Hevea brasiliensis (rubber tree). Lineage: Eukaryota; Viridiplantae; Streptophyta; Magnoliopsida; Malpighiales; Euphorbiaceae. The record is from RNAcentral.
CAAUUUACCUAGUUUGCAUCAGCUGCACAGAAGAACCAUUUGAAUCACUGAGGGGGCAAUUGGAGCUUAUCUAUUGUCAGAUGAUACUCAUUUUAACAAAGUCAGUAAAUAGAUGUUUCUCGAGAAGAAUCCAAAGUUUGAUAUGACACCCUUGCUUGGAGGAACGGAUGUUGUCUUCUCAUCACUCAUACAUUCAUUUAGUUGGAAUCCAGCCG